This 2900-nucleotide ribosomal RNA is filed under the name Klebsiella pneumoniae. Its description in RNAcentral is "bacterial LSU rRNA". It matches the Rfam family "Bacterial large subunit ribosomal RNA". Lineage: Bacteria; Pseudomonadati; Pseudomonadota; Gammaproteobacteria; Enterobacterales; Enterobacteriaceae. The record is from RNAcentral.
UUAAGCGACUAAGCGUACACGGUGGAUGCCCUGGCAGUCAGAGGCGAUGAAGGACGUGCUAAUCUGCGAAAAGCGUCGGUAAGGUGAUAUGAACCGUUACAGCCGGCGAUGUCCGAAUGGGGAAACCCAGUGUGAUUCGUCACACUAUCGUUAACUGAAUACAUAGGUUAACGAGGCGAACCGGGGGAACUGAAACAUCUAAGUACCCCGAGGAAAAGAAAUCAACCGAGAUUCCCCCAGUAGCGGCGAGCGAACGGGGAGCAGCCCAGAGUCUGAAUCAGCUUGUGUGUUAGUGGAACGGUCUGGAAAGUCCGACGGUACAGGGUGAUAGUCCCGUACACCAAAAUGCACAGGCUGUGAACUCGAAGAGUAGGGCGGGACACGUGGUAUCCUGUCUGAAUAUGGGGGGACCAUCCUCCAAGGCUAAAUACUCCUGACUGACCGAUAGUGAACCAGUACCGUGAGGGAAAGGCGAAAAGAACCCCGGCGAGGGGAGUGAAAAAGAACCUGAAACCGUGUACGUACAAGCAGUGGGAGCACCUUCGGGUGUGACUGCGUACCUUUUGUAUAAUGGGUCAGCGACUUAUAUUCUGUAGCAAGGUUAACCGUAUAGGGGAGCCGCAGGGAAACCGAGUCUUAACUGGGCGUUAAGUUGCAGGGUAUAGACCCGAAACCCGGUGAUCUAGCCAUGGGCAGGUUGAAGGUUGGGUAACACUAACUGGAGGACCGAACCGACUAAUGUUGAAAAAUUAGCGGAUGACUUGUGGCUGGGGGUGAAAGGCCAAUCAAACCGGGAGAUAGCUGGUUCUCCCCGAAAGCUAUUUAGGUAGCGCCUCGUGAACUCAUCUUCGGGGGUAGAGCACUGUUUCGGCUAGGGGGUCAUCCCGACUUACCAACCCGAUGCAAACUACGAAUACCGAAGAAUGUUAUCACGGGAGACACACGGCGGGUGCUAACGUCCGUCGUGAAGAGGGAAACAACCCAGACCGCCAGCUAAGGUCCCAAAGUCAUGGUUAAGUGGGAAACGAUGUGGGAAGGCACAGACAGCCAGGAUGUUGGCUUAGAAGCAGCCAUCAUUUAAAGAAAGCGUAAUAGCUCACUGGUCGAGUCGGCCUGCGCGGAAGAUGUAACGGGGCUAAACCAUGCACCGAAGCUGCGGCAGCGACACUAUGUGUUGUUGGGUAGGGGAGCGUUCUGUAAGCCUGCGAAGGUGUGCUGUGAGGCAUGCUGGAGGUAUCAGAAGUGCGAAUGCUGACAUAAGUAACGAUAAAGCGGGUGAAAAGCCCGCUCGCCGGAAGACCAAGGGUUCCUGUCCAACGUUAAUCGGGGCAGGGUGAGUCGACCCCUAAGGCGAGGCCGAAAGGCGUAGUCGAUGGGAAACAGGUUAAUAUUCCUGUACUUGGUGUUACUGCGAAGGGGGGACGGAGAAGGCUAUGUUAGCCGGGCGACGGUUGUCCCGGUUUAAGCAUGUAGGCUGGUUAUCCAGGCAAAUCCGGAUAAUCAAGGCUGAGGUGUGAUGACGAGGCACUACGGUGCUGAAGUAACAAAUGCCCUGCUUCCAGGAAAAGCCUCUAAGCAUCAGGUAACAUCAAAUCGUACCCCAAACCGACACAGGUGGUCAGGUAGAGAAUACCAAGGCGCUUGAGAGAACUCGGGUGAAGGAACUAGGCAAAAUGGUGCCGUAACUUCGGGAGAAGGCACGCUGGUGUGUAGGUGAAGUCCCUGCGGAUGGAGCUGAGACCAGUCGAAGAUACCAGCUGGCUGCAACUGUUUAUUAAAAACACAGCACUGUGCAAACACGAAAGUGGACGUAUACGGUGUGACGCCUGCCCGGUGCCGGAAGGUUAAUUGAUGGGGUUAUCCGUAAGGAGAAGCUCUUGAUCGAAGCCCCGGUAAACGGCGGCCGUAACUAUAACGGUCCUAAGGUAGCGAAAUUCCUUGUCGGGUAAGUUCCGACCUGCACGAAUGGCGUAAUGAUGGCCAGGCUGUCUCCACCCGAGACUCAGUGAAAUUGAACUCGCUGUGAAGAUGCAGUGUACCCGCGGCAAGACGGAAAGACCCCGUGAACCUUUACUAUAGCUUGACACUGAACAUUGAGCCUUGAUGUGUAGGAUAGGUGGGAGGCUUUGAAGCGUGGACGCCAGUCUGCGUGGAGCCAACCUUGAAAUACCACCCUUUAAUGUUUGAUGUUCUAACGUUGGCCCCUUACCGGGGUUGCGGACAGUGUCUGGUGGGUAGUUUGACUGGGGCGGUCUCCUCCCAAAGCGUAACGGAGGAGCACGAAGGUUAGCUAAUCCUGGUCGGACAUCAGGAGGUUAGUGCAAUGGCAUAAGCUAGCUUGACUGCGAGCGUGACGGCGCGAGCAGGUGCGAAAGCAGGUCAUAGUGAUCCGGUGGUUCUGAAUGGAAGGGCCAUCGCUCAACGGAUAAAAGGUACUCCGGGGAUAACAGGCUGAUACCGCCCAAGAGUUCAUAUCGACGGCGGUGUUUGGCACCUCGAUGUCGGCUCAUCACAUCCUGGGGCUGAAGUAGGUCCCAAGGGUAUGGCUGUUCGCCAUUUAAAGUGGUACGCGAGCUGGGUUUAGAACGUCGUGAGACAGUUCGGUCCCUAUCUGCCGUGGGCGCUGGAGAAUUGAGGGGGGCUGCUCCUAGUACGAGAGGACCGGAGUGGACGCAUCACUGGUGUUCGGGUUGUCAUGCCAAUGGCACUGCCCGGUAGCUAAAUGCGGAAGAGAUAAGUGCUGAAAGCAUCUAAGCACGAAACUUGCCCCGAGAUGAGUUCUCCCUGAGACUUUAAGUCUCCUGAAGGAACGUUGAAGACGACGACGUUGAUAGGCCGGGUGUGUAAGCGCAGCGAUGCGUUGAGCUAACCGGUACUAAUGAACCGUGAGGCUUAACCUU